GGGGAUAUAGCUCAGUGGUAGAGCAUUCGACUGCAGGUCGAGAGGUCCCUGGUUGGAACCCGGGUGUCCCCU
RNAcentral lists this transfer RNA (72 nucleotides) under Saccoglossus kowalevskii. RNAcentral describes it as "tRNA-Cys". It matches the Rfam family "tRNA". Rfam says of the family: Transfer RNA (tRNA) molecules are approximately 80 nucleotides in length. Their secondary structure includes four short double-helical elements and three loops (D, anti-codon, and T loops). Lineage: Eukaryota; Metazoa; Hemichordata; Enteropneusta; Harrimaniidae. The record is from RNAcentral.